UACGGAGGAUCCGAGCGUUAUCCGGAUUUAUUGGGUUUAAAGGGUGCGUAGGCGGGAGAUUAAGUCGGUGGUGAAAUUCUGCAGCUCAACUGUAAAAGUGCCAUUGAUACUGGUUUCCUUGAGUGUGGAUGAAGUAGGCGGAAUUUGUGGUGUAGCGGUGAAAUGCAUAGAUAUCACGAGGAACUCCGAUUGCGCGGGCAGCUUACUAAACCAUAACUGACGCUCAGGCACGAAGGCGUGGGGAUCAAACAGGAUUAGAUACCCU
RNAcentral lists this ribosomal RNA (265 nucleotides) under uncultured prokaryote. RNAcentral's name for it is "partial 16S ribosomal RNA". It matches the Rfam family "Bacterial small subunit ribosomal RNA", at positions 524 to 788 of the family's 1533-position model. The record is from RNAcentral.